CGGCAUAUAGCACAAUGGUUAGUGCAGCGGACUCAUAACUCGCCGAUGAAGGUUCGAAUCCUUAUGUGCCGA
This 72-nucleotide transfer RNA is filed under the name Fibrobacter sp. RNAcentral's name for it is "tRNA-Ile". It matches the Rfam family "tRNA". Rfam says of the family: Transfer RNA (tRNA) molecules are approximately 80 nucleotides in length. Their secondary structure includes four short double-helical elements and three loops (D, anti-codon, and T loops). The record is from RNAcentral. Lineage: Bacteria; Pseudomonadati; Fibrobacterota; Fibrobacteria; Fibrobacterales; Fibrobacteraceae.